RNAcentral lists this ribosomal RNA (1173 nucleotides) under Acutocoxae weddellensis. Its description in RNAcentral is "SSU rRNA". It matches the Rfam family "Eukaryotic small subunit ribosomal RNA", at positions 32 to 940 of the family's 1831-position model. Lineage: Eukaryota; Metazoa; Arthropoda; Malacostraca; Amphipoda; Podosiridae. The record is from RNAcentral.
UUGUUUCAAAGAUUAAGCCAUGCAUGUCUAAGUCCAAGCUGUGUCUGACACGGCGAGACCGCGGACGGCUCAUUAAAUCAGUCGUGGUCCAAAUGGGCCAGUGUUUAUUCUACUUGGAUAACUGUGGUAAUUCCAGAGCUAAUACAUGCAACUGAUAUCCCGACGACGUGUUUUGUUCUCUUGUAGGACUCUACUAGCUCUGACGGAUGCUUUUAUUAGACCAAACCGCCGAGAGUGACGGUAUCUCGUGUACAACUACUGUGCUCGUAGUGCCUCGCUUUACUCGUGUUGGGUGACUCCGGAUAACCUUUUUGACGAGCGCACGUAUCACUCUUUGAGUUGGACGGCGCUGCCACUUUCGAGUGUCUGCCUUAUCAGCUAUCAACCGUUCGUUAUGUGCGACCGAUGGCAUUGACGGGUAACGGAGAAUCAGGGUUCGAUUCCGGAGAGGCAGCCUGAGAAACGGCUACCACGUCCAAGGACGGCAGCAGGCACGCAAAUUACCCAAUCCCAGCUACUGGGGGAGGUAGUGACGAAAUCUAACGAUGCGGGCGCCCUUUCUAGGGCCCCGCAAUCGGAAUGAGCACUUUCUAAAAAACCUGUUGAGAACCUACUGAAGGGCAAGUCUGGUGCCAGCAGCCGCGGUAAUUCCAGCUUCAGUAGCAUCUAUUAAAGUUGCUGCGGUUAAAAGGCUCGCAGUUGAAGUUCAGUACUGAGCGCAGGUUAGGUGGACGUUGGAACGUGGGUAUUAAAGGUGUCGUGCGUACGGGCGUGCUUGCACGUACCGGCCACGCUCCUGUCUCACAAGUUUCCGUCCGUGAACAGCCUCCUCGCUUGCGUACAUAUGGGAAUUUGUCUAACGGAGUGUACGCGGUGCUCGCAUCUAGACGUUCGCGUCGAAAUGUGGAGGCUCGUACGUUAAGCUCCUUCGGUUUCAUAGUCACCUUGAGUAAAUCAGAGUGCUCAAAGCAGUCGUAGGGGCCUUGUGCCCUGUGAAAAGUCUUAACGGACUGACUUGGUUUUGCAUGGCAUGUCGGAAUACGACGUCGCGUGCUGGCUCAGAGUUCUUUCUGGUGGUGUAAGCCAGCCGCGACGUACUGAUUAAAAGGAUCGGUCGAGGGCAUUGGUAUUGCGGGGCGAGAGGUGAAAUUCUAUAACCCCCGCAAGACCUCC